UACAGAGGGUGCAAGCGUUGUUCGGAAUUAUUGGGCGUAAAGCGCGUGUAGGCGGCAUGGCAAGUCGGGUGUGAAAGCCCUCAGCUUAACUGAGGAAGUGCGCCCGAAACUGCCGUGCUUGAGUGCCGGAGAGGGUGGCGGAAUUCCCCAAGUAGAGGUGAAAUUCGUAGAUAUGGGGAGGAACACCGGUGGCGAAGGCGGCCACCUGGACGGUAACUGACGCUGAGACGCGAAAGCGUGGGGAGCGAACAGG
This 253-nucleotide ribosomal RNA is filed under the name uncultured bacterium. RNAcentral's name for it is "partial 16S ribosomal RNA". It matches the Rfam family "Bacterial small subunit ribosomal RNA", at positions 524 to 776 of the family's 1533-position model. The record is from RNAcentral.